RNAcentral lists this ribosomal RNA (1471 nucleotides) under Vibrio sp. N418. Its description in RNAcentral is "bacterial LSU rRNA". It matches the Rfam family "Bacterial large subunit ribosomal RNA", at positions 1 to 1527 of the family's 2925-position model. Lineage: Bacteria; Pseudomonadati; Pseudomonadota; Gammaproteobacteria; Vibrionales; Vibrionaceae. The record is from RNAcentral.
AUGGUUAAGUGACUAAGCGUACACGGUGGAUGCCUUGGCAGUCAGAGGCGAUGAAAGACGUAGUAACUUGCGAUAAGCCCAGAUUAGGUAGUAACAACCAUUUGAGUCUGGGAUUUCUGAAUGGGGAAACCCACGUGCAUAAGCACGUAUCAUUAACUGAAUACAUAGGUUAAUGAGGCGAACCGGGGGAACUGAAACAUCUAAGUACCCCGAGGAAAAGAAAUCAACCGAGAUUCCGAAAGUAGCGGCGAGCGAAAUUGGAUUAGCCCUUAAGCGUUUUAUGCGUCAGGUGAAACUUCUGGAAAGUUGUGCGAUACAGGGUGAUAGCCCCGUAACCGGCAACGCAUAUUAGGUGAAAACGAGUAGGGCGGGACACGUGUUAUCCUGUCUGAAUAUGGGGGGACCAUCCUCCAAGGCUAAAUACUACUGACUGACCGAUAGUGAACCAGUACCGUGAGGGAAAGGCGAAAAGAACCCCUGUGAGGGGAGUGAAAUAGAACCUGAAACCGUGUACGUACAAGCAGUAGGAGCAGGCAUUGCGUCCUGUGACUGCGUACCUUUUGUAUAAUGGGUCAGCGACUUAAUUUUAGUAGCAAGGUUAACCAUCUAGGGGAGCCGUAGGGAAACCGAGUCUUAACUGGGCGUAUAGUUGCUAGAAUUAGACCCGAAACCAGGUGAUCUAGCCAUGGGCAGGUUGAAGAUUGAGUAACAUCAAUUGGAGGACCGAACCGACUAAUGUUGAAAAAUUAGCGGAUGACUUGUGGCUAGGGGUGAAAGGCCAAUCAAACCUGGAGAUAGCUGGUUCUCCCCGAAAGCUAUUUAGGUAGCGCCUCGGACGAAUACUACUGGGGGUAGAGCACUGUUAAGGCUAGGGGGUCAUCCCGACUUACCAACCCUUUGCAAACUCCGAAUACCAGUAAGUACUAUCCGGGAGACACACGGCGGGUGCUAACGUCCGUCGUGGAGAGGGAAACAACCCAGACCGCCAGCUAAGGUCCCAAAUUAUUACUAAGUGGGAAACGAUGUGGGAAGGCUUAGACAGCUAGGAUGUUGGCUUAGAAGCAGCCAUCAUUUAAAGAAAGCGUAAUAGCUCACUAGUCGAGUCGGCCUGCGCGGAAGAUGUAACGGGGCUAAGUAAUAAACCGAAGCUGCGGCAAUGAAGUUUACUUCAUUGGGUAGGGGAGCGUUCUGUAAGCGGUUGAAGGUGUGCUGUAAGGCAUGCUGGACGUAUCAGAAGUGCGAAUGCUGACAUGAGUAACGAUAAAGGGGGUGAAAAACCUCCUCGCCGGAAGACCAAGGGUUCCUGUCCAACGUUAAUCGGGGCAGGGUAAGUCGACCCCUAAGGCGAGGCCGAAAGGCGUAGUCGAUGGGAAACGGGUUAAUAUUCCCGUACUUCUUAUAAUUGCGAUGGGGGGACGGAGAAGGCUAGGUGGGCCUGGCGACGGUUGUCCAGGUUCAAGUACGUAGGCGG